RNAcentral lists this ribosomal RNA (154 nucleotides) under Haemaphysalis longicornis (longhorned tick). RNAcentral's name for it is "5.8S ribosomal RNA". It matches the Rfam family "5.8S ribosomal RNA". Rfam says of the family: 5.8S ribosomal RNA (5.8S rRNA) is a component of the large subunit of the eukaryotic ribosome. The record is from Rfam by way of RNAcentral. Lineage: Eukaryota; Metazoa; Arthropoda; Arachnida; Ixodida; Ixodidae.
CGCAAUCGACUGCGGAUCACCUCGGUUCUCGGGUCGAUGAAGAACGCAGCCAGCUGCGAGACUUGGUGUGAAUUGCAGGACACACUGAGCACUGAUUCUUUGAACGCACAUUGCGGCCUUGGGUCUUCCCUUGGCUUCGUCUGUCUGAGGGUCG